CGGCGGACGGGUGAGUAACGCGUGGGUAACCUGCCUCAUACAGGGGGAUAACAGUUAGAAAUGACUGCUAAUACCGCAUAAGCGCACAGUACCGCAUGGUACGGUGUGAAAAACUCCGGUGGUAUGAGAUGGACCCGCGUCUGAUUAGCUAGUUGGUGGGGUAACGGCCUACCAAGGCGACGAUCAGUAGCCGACCUGAGAGGGUGACCGGCCACAUUGGGACUGAGACACGGCCCAA
This 238-nucleotide ribosomal RNA is filed under the name uncultured bacterium. RNAcentral describes it as "partial 16S ribosomal RNA". It matches the Rfam family "Bacterial small subunit ribosomal RNA", at positions 96 to 334 of the family's 1533-position model. The record is from RNAcentral.